This 506-nucleotide ribosomal RNA is filed under the name uncultured bacterium. Its description in RNAcentral is "partial 16S ribosomal RNA". It matches the Rfam family "Bacterial small subunit ribosomal RNA", at positions 28 to 523 of the family's 1533-position model. The record is from RNAcentral.
GAUGAACGCUAGCUACAGGCUUAACACAUGCAAGUCGAGGGGUAACGAGAGGAAAGCUUGCUUUCCUUGUCGACGACCGGCGCACGGGUGAGUAAUGCGUAUCCAACCUGCCCCCAACUAAGGAAUAACCUUGCGAAAGUAAGACUAAUACCUUAUAAUUUCCUCAGAUGUCAUCUGACGAGGAAUAAAGAUUUAUCGGUUGUGGAUGGGGACGCGUCUGAUUAGCUUGUUGGCGGGGUAACGGCCCACCAAGGCAACGAUCAGUAGGGGUUCUGAGAGGAAGGUCCCCCACGUUGGAACUGAGACACGGUCCAAACUCCUACGGGAGGCAGCAGUGAGGAAUAUUGGUCAAUGGGCGGAAGCCUGAACCAGCCAAGUAGCGUGCAGGAUGACGGCCCUAUGGGUUGUAAACUGCUUUUAUACAGGAAUAAAGUUAGCCACGUGUGGUUAUUUGUAGGUACUGUAUGAAUAAGGACCGGCUAAUUCCGUGCCAGCCGCCGCCGUAA